GGAUGUGAGAGUGAUCUAGCUGCAACAUCUGUCGCUGGCUAGGUGGGUGUCCCCUUCCUUUCUCACUGCUCCAUGUGAAUCCCUCCCGAAGCUGCACACUUGGUCGAAGAGGACGAUCUUCCCUGAAUAGAGGAGGACCGGUCUUCAGUCAAGGGUAUACAAGUAGCUGUGCUCCCCUGCUAGAACCUCCAAACAAGCUCUCAAAUUACAGAUCUGUGCCUGUGAAUAGAUAAGUGUGUUCAUAUGGGACUGUGAGUGCGUGCGUGCAUGCGUGUGUGUGCGCGCGCGC
Mesocricetus auratus (golden hamster) is the source of this 289-nucleotide unclassified non-coding RNA. Its record names the gene 7SK. It matches the Rfam family "7SK RNA". Rfam says of the family: 7SK was discovered as an abundant small nuclear RNA in the mid-70s but a possible function has only recently been suggested. The record is from Ensembl. Lineage: Eukaryota; Metazoa; Chordata; Mammalia; Rodentia; Cricetidae.